CUACGGGAUGCACCAGUGAGGAAUUUUGCGCAAUGGGGGAAACCCUGACGCAGCAACGCCGCGUGAGUGAAGAAGGCCCUUGGGUCGUAAAGCUCUGUCAAUGGGGAAGAAGUUAUUAUGUGUUAAUAGCACAUUUUAUUGACGGUACCCAUGAAGGAAGCACCGGCUAACUCCGUGCCAGCAGCCGCGGUAAUACGGGGGGUGCAAGCGUUAUUCGGAAUUAUUGGGCGUAAAGGGCACGCAGGCGGUCCUGCCAGUCAGAUGUGAAAGCCCGGGGCUCAACCCCGGACGUGCAUUUGAAACAGCAGGACUUGAGUACGGGAGAGGAAAGGGGAAUUCCUGGUGUAGAGGUGAAAUUCGUAGAUAUCAGGAGGAACACCGGUGGCGAAGGCGCCUUUCUGGACCGAUACUGACGCUGAGGUGCGAAGGCGUGGGUAGCGAACGGGAUUAGAUACCCCAGUAGUC
Molecule: ribosomal RNA, 465 nt
Filed under: uncultured bacterium
Lineage: Bacteria
Description: partial 16S ribosomal RNA
Rfam family: Bacterial small subunit ribosomal RNA
Source: RNAcentral